Molecule: ribosomal RNA, 311 nt
Filed under: uncultured bacterium
Lineage: Bacteria
Description: bacterial SSU rRNA
Rfam family: Bacterial small subunit ribosomal RNA
Source: RNAcentral
GAAAGAUUCAUCGGUGGCGGAGUAGGCUCGGCGGGACAUUAGCUAGACGGGCGGGCGAACCGGCCCACCGUGGCGGACGAUGUCGUAGGGUUCUGAGAGGAACGGCCCCCCACACUGGGACUGAGACACGGCCCAGACUCCUACGGGAGGCAGCAGUGAGGAAUAUUGGUCAAUGGGCGGAAGCCUGAACCAGCCAUGCCGCGUGAAGGACUAAGGCCCUACGGGUCGUAAACUUCUUUAGACGCAGAGCAAUAAGGUCCACGCGUGGACCGAUGAGAGUAUGCGUAGAAUAAGCAUCGGCUAACUCCGUG